GACAGAGGGGGCAAGCGUUGCUCGGAAUCACUGGGCGUAAAGGGCGCGUAGGCGGGAUGGCAAGUCGGUCGUGAAAUCCUUCGGCUCAACCGAAGAACGUCGGCCGAUACUGCCGUUCUUGAGGGAUGCAGAGGAGAUUGGAAUUCCCGGUGUAGCGGUGAAAUGUGUAGAGAUCGGGAGGAACACCGGUGGCGAAGGCGGGUCUCGUGGGCGAUCGUCCUGACGCUGAGGCGCGAAAGGCGUGGGGAGCAAACGGG
Molecule: ribosomal RNA, 257 nt
Filed under: uncultured bacterium
Lineage: Bacteria
Description: partial 16S ribosomal RNA
Rfam family: Bacterial small subunit ribosomal RNA
Source: RNAcentral